AUGAGGAUCAUGGUGUGGACGCUGCGGGGGGACCGGGUGGCGCUGGACGUGGACGGCGCGACCACGACCGUGGCGCAGGCCAAGGGCAUGGUCAUGGCCCGGGAGCGCGUCCCCGUGGCCAUGCAGCGCCUCUUCUUUGCCGGCUGCCACCUCGACGACGACAACCGGACGCUCGCCGGCUACGGUGUCCAGCAUGACUCCGUCCUCUUCCUCGGCCUCCGCCUCCGCGCUGCCGACACAACUCCGUGCCAGUACGUGCGCGUUGCUCUGCUCUGUCAUAGAGAAAUUCCUUUCUUUUCCG
RNAcentral lists this ribosomal RNA (301 nucleotides) under Triticum aestivum (bread wheat). RNAcentral describes it as "partial small subunit ribosomal RNA". The record is from RNAcentral. Lineage: Eukaryota; Viridiplantae; Streptophyta; Magnoliopsida; Poales; Poaceae.